Podarcis lilfordi (Lilford's wall lizard) is the source of this 71-nucleotide non-coding RNA. NCBI's taxonomy places the organism in Eukaryota, Metazoa, Chordata, Lepidosauria, Squamata, Lacertidae. The record is from the annotation of a GenBank genome assembly.
GUUAAGGUAGCUCAGUCGGCAGAGCAUGAGACUCAGGCUCGGGAAUGUGGUUUCAAGCUCCACGUUGGGCA